UACGUAGGGGGCUAGCGUUGUCCGGAAUCAUUGGGCGUAAAGCGCGUGUAGGCGGCCCGGUAAGUCCGCUGUGAAAGUCGGGGGCUCAACCCUCGGAUGCCGGUGGAUACUGUCGGGCUUGAGUACGGAAGAGGCGAGUGGAAUUCCUGGUGUAGCGGUGAAAUGCGCAGAUAUCAGGAGGAACACCGAUUGCGAAGGCAGCUCGCUGGGACGUGACUGACGCUGAGACGCGAAAGCGUGGGGAGCAAACAGG
This 253-nucleotide ribosomal RNA is filed under the name uncultured bacterium. Its description in RNAcentral is "partial 16S ribosomal RNA". It matches the Rfam family "Bacterial small subunit ribosomal RNA", at positions 524 to 776 of the family's 1533-position model. The record is from RNAcentral.